CUUAUAAAAGCCUCACAU
Molecule: small nuclear RNA, 18 nt
Filed under: Arabidopsis thaliana (thale cress)
Lineage: Eukaryota; Viridiplantae; Streptophyta; Magnoliopsida; Brassicales; Brassicaceae
Description: snRNA_11966
Source: RNAcentral